AAAGAAAAUCUCUUCAAACAUUUUUUUGAGAGGAUUAAUAUUCAACAGCAUAGUGAAUUGCUCAAAGGCAAAAAAAAAAAAAAAUAUUUUAAGUUCAUUAGACCACAUUCAUUCUGUGUCUGAAACCUAUGCUGUGUCAACUAUUUAAUCACAAUCCAAAUUUAGAGCUGAAUCCAGCUUGAAUGUUGUGUCCAUACUUGCCCCAACCGUUCAGGUUUCAACCUCUGCGGUCGUAUAAAG
This 240-nucleotide long non-coding RNA is filed under the name Mytilus galloprovincialis (Mediterranean mussel). Lineage: Eukaryota; Metazoa; Mollusca; Bivalvia; Mytilida; Mytilidae. The record is from RNAcentral.